GGGUUGUGAGGUUAAGCGACUAAGCGUACACGGUGGAUGCCCUGGCAGUCAGAGGCGAUGAAGGACGUGCUAAUCUGCGAUAAGCGUCGGUAAGGUGAUAUGAACCGUUAUAACCGGCGAUUUCCGAAUGGGGAAACCCAGUGUGUUUCGACACACUAUCAUUAACUGAAUCCAUAGGUUAAUGAGGCGAACCGGGGGAACUGAAACAUCUAAGUACCCCGAGGAAAAGAAAUCAACCGAGAUUCCCCCAGUAGCGGCGAGCGAACGGGGAGCAGCCCAGAGCCUGAAUCAGUGUGUGUGUUAGUGGAAGCGUCUGGAAAGGCGCGCGAUACAGGGUGACAGCCCCGUACACAAAAAUGCACAUGCUGUGAGCUCGAUGAGUAGGGCGGGACACGUGGUAUCCUGUCUGAAUAUGGGGGGACCAUCCUCCAAGGCUAAAUACUCCUGACUGACCGAUAGUGAACCAGUACCGUGAGGGAAAGGCGAAAAGAACCCCGGCGAGGGGAGUGAAAAAGAACCUGAAACCGUGUACGUACAAGCAGUGGGAGCACGCUUAGGCGUGUGACUGCGUACCUUUUGUAUAAUGGGUCAGCGACUUAUAUUCUGUAGCAAGGUUAACCGAAUAGGGGAGCCGAAGGGAAACCGAGUCUUAACUGGGCGUUAAGUUGCAGGGUAUAGACCCGAAACCCGGUGAUCUAGCCAUGGGCAGGUUGAAGGUUGGGUAACACUAACUGGAGGACCGAACCGACUAAUGUUGAAAAAUUAGCGGAUGACUUGUGGCUGGGGGUGAAAGGCCAAUCAAACCGGGAGAUAGCUGGUUCUCCCCGAAAGCUAUUUAGGUAGCGCCUCGUGAAUUCAUCUCCGGGGGUAGAGCACUGUUUCGGCAAGGGGGUCAUCCCGACUUACCAACCCGAUGCAAACUGCGAAUACCGGAGAAUGUUAUCACGGGAGACACACGGCGGGUGCUAACGUCCGUCGUGAAGAGGGAAACAACCCAGACCGCCAGCUAAGGUCCCAAAGUCAUGGUUAAGUGGGAAACGAUGUGGGAAGGCCCAGACAGCCAGGAUGUUGGCUUAGAAGCAGCCAUCAUUUAAAGAAAGCGUAAUAGCUCACUGGUCGAGUCGGCCUGCGCGGAAGAUGUAACGGGGCUAAACCAUGCACCGAAGCUGCGGCAGCGACACUAUGUGUUGUUGGGUAGGGGAGCGUUCUGUAAGCCUGUGAAGGUGUGCUGUGAGGCAUGCUGGAGGUAUCAGAAGUGCGAAUGCUGACAUAAGUAACGAUAAAGCGGGUGAAAAGCCCGCUCGCCGGAAGACCAAGGGUUCCUGUCCAACGUUAAUCGGGGCAGGGUGAGUCGACCCCUAAGGCGAGGCCGAAAGGCGUAGUCGAUGGGAAACAGGUUAAUAUUCCUGUACUUGGUGUUACUGCGAAGGGGGGACGGAGAAGGCUAUGUUGGCCGGGCGACGGUUGUCCCGGUUUAAGCGUGUAGGCUGGUUUUCCAGGCAAAUCCGGAAAAUCAAGGCUGAGGCGUGAUGACGAGGCACUACGGUGCUGAAGCAACAAAUGCCCUGCUUCCAGGAAAAGCCUCUAAGCAUCAGGUAACAUCAAAUCGUACCCCAAACCGACACAGGUGGUCAGGUAGAGAAUACCAAGGCGCUUGAGAGAACUCGGGUGAAGGAACUAGGCAAAAUGGUGCCGUAACUUCGGGAGAAGGCACGCUGAUAUGUAGGUGA
RNAcentral lists this ribosomal RNA (1730 nucleotides) under Escherichia coli. RNAcentral describes it as "bacterial LSU rRNA". It matches the Rfam family "Bacterial large subunit ribosomal RNA", at positions 1 to 1765 of the family's 2925-position model. Lineage: Bacteria; Pseudomonadati; Pseudomonadota; Gammaproteobacteria; Enterobacterales; Enterobacteriaceae. The record is from RNAcentral.